GAGGGUAUAGCUCAAUGGUAGAGCACAUGCUUAGCAUGCAUGAGGCCAUUGGUUUGAUCUCCAGUACCUCCA
This 72-nucleotide transfer RNA is filed under the name Camelus ferus (Wild Bactrian camel). It matches the Rfam family "tRNA". Rfam says of the family: Transfer RNA (tRNA) molecules are approximately 80 nucleotides in length. The record is from Rfam by way of RNAcentral. Lineage: Eukaryota; Metazoa; Chordata; Mammalia; Artiodactyla; Camelidae.